GCUCAAUGUGAAAUUCAGAUGGCCCAGUCCUCAUCCCUGUCUGCAUCUCUUGGAGACAGAGUUGCCAUCACUUGCAGGGCCAGUCAGGGUAUUAGCAAUGAUUUACAUUGGUACCAGCAGAGA
Dipodomys spectabilis (banner-tailed kangaroo rat) is the source of this 123-nucleotide long non-coding RNA. RefSeq lists it as uncharacterized. The transcript has 3 exons. Lineage: Eukaryota; Metazoa; Chordata; Mammalia; Rodentia; Heteromyidae. The record is from RefSeq and is a predicted model, not a curated record.